AAAAAAAAAGAGAAAGAAAAAGAAAUCCACGACCGCACUUUUGUGAUCUAUCGAGCUUCAAUCUGUGUUUUGGAAGUUCUUACUCUCUCUCUCUCUCGGUAGCAAGCAUCAAAAAUGAAAAGCGCACAUUUUUGUGCCAAAAAACAAGGGAAGGAAAGAGUAUAGUGUAGAGAGAAUCCACCCACCCAUAUUUUUUACUCUAAACUUUUUU
RNAcentral lists this non-coding RNA (211 nucleotides) under Licmophora paradoxa. The record is from RNAcentral. Lineage: Eukaryota; Bacillariophyta; Fragilariophyceae; Licmophorales; Licmophoraceae.